GACGAACGCUGGCGGCGUGCUUAACACAUGCAAGUCGAACGGAAAGGCCCUGCUUUUGUGGGGUUCUCGAGUGGCGAACGGGUGAGUAACACGUGAGUAACCUGCCCUUGACUGUGUGAUAACUUCAGGAAACUGGGGCUAAUACCGGAUAGGAUCUCCUGCUGCAUGGUGGGGGUUGGAAAGUUUCGGCGGUUGGGGAUGGACUCGCGGCUUAUCAGCUUGUUGGUGGGGUAGUGGCUUACCAAGGCUUUGACGGGUAGCCGGCCUGAGAGGGUGACCGGCCACAUUGGGACUGAGAUACGGACCAGUAUCCUACGGGCGGCAGCAGUGGGGAAUCUUGCACAGUGGGCGGACGCCUGAUGCAGAAACGCCGCGUGCGGGAUGCUGGCCUUCGGGUUGUAAACCGCUUUCGCCUGUGCCGAAGAGUGAGUGACGGUAAUGGGUAAAGAAGCACCGGCUAACUACGUG
Molecule: ribosomal RNA, 468 nt
Filed under: uncultured bacterium
Lineage: Bacteria
Description: partial 16S ribosomal RNA
Rfam family: Bacterial small subunit ribosomal RNA
Source: RNAcentral